Molecule: ribosomal RNA, 656 nt
Filed under: uncultured bacterium
Lineage: Bacteria
Description: bacterial SSU rRNA
Rfam family: Bacterial small subunit ribosomal RNA
Source: RNAcentral
UCGAGACCCUAGCGGCGGACGGGUGAGUAACACGUAGGCAACCUGCCUGUAAGACUGGGAUAACAUAGGGAAACUUAUGCUAAUACCGGAUAGGGUUUUGCUUCGCCUGAAGCGAAACGGAAAGAUGGCGCAAGCUAUCACUUACAGAUGGGCCUGCGGCGCAUUAGCUAGUUGGUGAGGUAACGGCUCACCAAGGCNACGAUGCGUAGCCGACCUGAGAGGGUGACCGGCCACACUGGGACUGAGACACGGCCCAGACUCCUACGGGAGGCAGCAGUAGGGAAUUUUCCACAAUGGACGAAAGUCUGAUGGAGCAACGCCGCGUGAACGAUGAAGGCUUUCGGGUCGUAAAGUUCUGUUGUUAGGGAAGAAACAGUGCUAUUUAAAUAAGGUAGCACCUUGACGGUACCUAACGAGAAAGCCACGGCUAACUACGUGCCAGCAGCCGCGGUAAUACGUAGGUGGCAAGCGUUGUCCGGAAUUAUUGGGCGUAAAGCGCGCGCAGGUGGCUAUGUAAGUCUGAUGUUAAAGCCCGAGGCUCAACCUCGGUUCGCAUUGGAAACUGUGUAGCUUGAGUGCAGGAGAGGAAAGUGGUAUUCCACGUGUAGCGGUGAAAUGCGUAGAGAUGUGGAGGAACACCAGUGGCGAAGGCGACU